UACGGAGGGCGCAAGCGUUGUCCGGAAUUAUUGGGCGUAAAGAGCUCGUAGGCGGUUUGUCGCGUCUGCUGUGAAAACCUAAGGCUCAACCUUGGGCUUGCAGUGGGUACGGGCAGACUAGAGUGCGGUAGGGGUGACUGGAAUUCCUGGUGUAGCGGUGGAAUGCGCAGAUAUCAGGAGGAACACCGAUGGCGAAGGCAGGUCACUGGGCCGCAACUGACGCUGAGGAGCGAAAGCAUGGGGAGCGAACAGG
RNAcentral lists this ribosomal RNA (253 nucleotides) under uncultured bacterium. RNAcentral describes it as "partial 16S ribosomal RNA". It matches the Rfam family "Bacterial small subunit ribosomal RNA", at positions 524 to 776 of the family's 1533-position model. The record is from RNAcentral.